Molecule: long non-coding RNA, 790 nt
Filed under: Chrysemys picta bellii (western painted turtle)
Lineage: Eukaryota; Metazoa; Chordata; Testudines; Emydidae
Description: lncRNA (ENSCPBG00000003470.1)
Source: RNAcentral
CUGGCACUGUUAAUCUGCAAAAGUUUGUUGGAAAAGAAAUGUCUGGACUGCUUUGAUCCAUAUUCUGCUUAUCCGGUAUCUAAUGCAUCUCAAGUUCACUGUCUUCAAACUGUGCAUAGGAAUAGUUACGGACAGGAAGACAAAAAAAGAAAGAAAACAAUAUUUUAAGUUGAAUUCAAGCCAGAUUUAAUGAAAACAAGUCCCCGUACAAGUCUGUUGAAGCAAAGGGCCACAGAUCCACUAGAAAGUCCACAGUGCUCGGGAAAUCAGAGUACUGAAUCUCUUAGUGCUGUGGAAACAGAACAGAAGCCCAUGCUUCAGCCAGGACCGCAAUGGCCUCCUCCCAUGGGAGUAACAGCUGCAUAAAUAGGAGGGAAAUCCUCAGCGGAAUAGCUUCCAACACCUUUCUAAUGGAAAUAAUGAUUUGCAAAACCCAGUUUAUGCCUCUGCCACAUAAUUAGUAGCCAAAAGAGCUAAAGAUUAAAAACACUGUUCCAAGUCCCAGCAUCUCUGAAAUUUGGCAAGACCUUAAAUAUUGCACUCUGUGUUCCAAACAGGUUGCCUAUAUGUGAGCAUUGCAAGGAAAAUCUUAGUCAGUUGAGUCAAGCCCUUGAAUCAGUCAACACUUAUUAUAUGGAAAUUAACCAGUUUGAUGUCAAUUAGUGGAAAUUUGUUAGCAGGCAUACCCUGUGGGACAGUUUAUUUUGAAUUCCGAAUACUCUUUAUUGAAGCCAGCUAAGAUAGUUGAUGUGGUCCCUGACUCCUUCUUUAAAAAUCAGAGUAGAAUUAG